CCUGUAAGUCGAACGGCAGCGGGCCUUCGGGUGCCGGCGAGUGGCGAACGGGUGAGUAAUGCAUCGGAACGUGCCAUUGAGUGGGGGAUAACGUAGCGAAAGUUGCGCUAAUACCGCAUAUUCUGUGAGCAGGAAAGCAGGGGACCGCAAGGCCUUGCGCUCUUUGAGCGGCCGAUGUCAGAUAGCUAGUUGGUGAGGUAAAGGCUUACCAAGGCGACGAUCUGUAGCGGGUCUGAGAGGAUGAUCCGCCACACUGGAACUGAGACACGGUCCAGACUCCUACGGGAGGCAGCAGUGGGGAAUAUUGCGCAAUGGGGGAAACCCUGACGCAGCGACGCCGUGUGAGGGAAGAAGGCUUUCGGGUCGUAAACCUCUGUCGGGAGGGAAGAACCUUCCAGGUCUGAAUAAGCCCUGGAACUGACGGUACCUCCAAAGGAAGCACCGGCUAACUCCGUGCCAGCAGCCGCGGUAAUACGGAGGGUGCAAGCGUUAAUCGGAAUCACUGGGCGUAAAGCGCGCGUAGGCCGCCUUCUAAGUCGGACGUGAAAGCCCUCGGCUCAACCGAGGAACUGCGUUCGAAACUGGGAGGCUUGAGUCCUGGAGAGGGUGGCGGAAUUCCGGGUGUAGGAGUGAAAUCCGUAGAUAUUCGGAGGAACACUGGUGGCGAAGGCGGCCACCUGGACAGGUACUGACGCUGAGGCGCGAAAGCGUGCGGGAGCAAACAGGAUUAGAUACCCUGGUAGUCCACGCUGUAAACGAUGGAUGCUAGGUGUCGGGGAGCGAUCCUCGGUGCCGCAGUUAACGCAUUAAGCAUCCCGCCUGGGGAGUACGGUCGCAAGGGCUGAAACUUCAAAGGGAAUAGACGGGGGCUCUGCACAAGCCGGGUGGGAGUUAUGUGGG
This 900-nucleotide ribosomal RNA is filed under the name uncultured bacterium. RNAcentral's name for it is "bacterial SSU rRNA". It matches the Rfam family "Bacterial small subunit ribosomal RNA", at positions 54 to 954 of the family's 1533-position model. The record is from RNAcentral.